AGUCGAGCGGUAGAAGGAGCUUGCUUCUUUGAGACCGGCGAACGGGUGCGUAACGCGUAUGCAAUCUACCUUGUACUGGAAGAUAGCCCAGAGAAAUUUGGAUUAAUAUUCCAUAGUAUUAUGAUAAGGCAUCUUAUUAUAAUUAAAGAUUACGGUACAAGAUGAGCAUGCGUCCCAUUAGCUAGUUGGUAUGGUAACGGCAUACCAAGGCUACGAUGGGUAGGGGUCCUGAGAGGGAGAUCCCCCACACUGGUACUGAGACACGGACCAGACUCCUACGGGAGGCGGCAGUGAGGAAUAUUGGGCAAUGCUCGCAAGAGUGACCCAGCCAUGCCGCGUGCAGGAAGACGGUCCUAUGGAUAGUAAACUGCUUUUAUACGGGAAGAAACCCUCCUUCGUGAAGGAGCUUGACGGUACCGUAUGAAUAAGCAUCGGCUAACUCCGUGCCAGCAGCCGCGGUAAUACGGAGGAUGCAAGCGUUAUCCGGAAUCAUUGGGUUUAAAGGGUCCGUAGGCGGCCUGAUAAGUCAGUGGUGAAAUCUCCUAGCUCAACUAGGAAACUGCCAUUGAUACUG
This 574-nucleotide ribosomal RNA is filed under the name bacterium SL4.33. RNAcentral's name for it is "bacterial SSU rRNA". It matches the Rfam family "Bacterial small subunit ribosomal RNA", at positions 60 to 635 of the family's 1533-position model. The record is from RNAcentral.